This 403-nucleotide ribosomal RNA is filed under the name uncultured bacterium. Its description in RNAcentral is "bacterial SSU rRNA". It matches the Rfam family "Bacterial small subunit ribosomal RNA", at positions 355 to 775 of the family's 1533-position model. The record is from RNAcentral.
UAGGGAAUAUUGCACAAUGGGGGGAACCCUGAUGCAGCCACGCCGCGUGUGUGAAGAAGGCCUUCGGGUUGUAAAGCACUUUCAGAGGGGAGGAAAAUGACGUUACCCUCAGAAGAAGCACCGGCUAACUCCGUGCCAGCAGCCGCGGUAAUACGGAGGGUGCAAGCGUUAAUCGGAAUAACUGGGCGUAAAGGGCAUGCAGGCGGUUCUGCAAGUAGGGUGUGAAAGCCCGGGGCUCAACCUCGGAAUUGCACUCUAAACUGUGGGACUAGAGUAUUGCAGGGGGAGACGGAAUUCCAGGUGUAGCGGUGGAAUGCGUAGAGAUCUGGAAGAACACCAAAGGCGAAGGCAGUCUCCUGGGCAAAUACUGACGCUCAUAUGCGAAAGCGUGGGUAGCAAACAG